RNAcentral lists this long non-coding RNA (845 nucleotides) under Linum usitatissimum (flax). RNAcentral's name for it is "long non-coding RNA (LUSI_LNC002960)". Lineage: Eukaryota; Viridiplantae; Streptophyta; Magnoliopsida; Malpighiales; Linaceae. The record is from RNAcentral.
UGGUUCCGCAUCGACCAUAACACAACCCAAAUGAAACUAGGUGGAUGUCGUGUAGGUUGGCUAGGUAAUGACCCGCUGAAAAGUGGAUGAGUUGGUUUGGAUGGCAGGUGAAACACCAAACCCACCGAUCACGACGACUAUUUCCUCCUUGAUGUUCAUAUAUAAUAAUGUCUCUGUCAUUUUGAUCCAUUAUAUAUAAUACGUAUCCUUCCUUCCUGGAUCAGUAAGAAGACUCUUCUGCAGUUUCCUUCUCUCCAUAACUCCGAUCCCAUGUAUUCAAUUCUAAGCCCACAAAAUCAGAAAUCAGGAGACAUUGCUAAUACAGAUAAAUAAUCAAGUCCAUUUCAAAUAUAAUUAGCAAACAAAAGAAUGAAAAAAGAGAUUAAGGUAACCACAUACUAUGUUCUAACUUUGAGUUUGCUGUUAGCUUCUGCUUGAUCGAUCUCAAAUAUGAUCUUUGUUCUUGUUAACCAAUCUAGCUAAGCUUUUUAUAGCUUUCUUUAUCUCCAUUCGCAAUGCUGUACUCCUGCUCAAGCUUUUUUCUGUUGAGUUUUGUUAUAGGUCAGAUCUCCAACGGUGUGAUUGGUAACGUGGAGGUCUUGGAUUUGAAUUCAGUCACACCCUAAAAUGGAAUUUCAUGCAUGCAAUAUUAAAUUCCUUCUCUCUGUGUUGAGUGAGUCUAUCGGCCUUGUGCCUCCUUAGAUUCUCUCGUGGUGGCUUGUCCCGAUCAAUAUGCCCCAUUACGGCCAUGUUGGCUUUCAAAGAGGUUUAGUUGGCACUUUGGAUAUUCAUAAGACGUGAAGCUAGUGCUUUAUGCGCUAUUAUGUCAGAGCAUUCAAUCGGUG